Molecule: ribosomal RNA, 498 nt
Filed under: uncultured Glomeromycotina
Lineage: Eukaryota; Fungi; Glomeromycota
Description: partial small subunit ribosomal RNA
Rfam family: Eukaryotic small subunit ribosomal RNA
Source: RNAcentral
CCAAUAGCGUAUAUUAAAGUUGUUGCAGUUAAAAAGCUCGUAGUUGAAUUUUAGGCCUGGCCGGACGGUCCGUCUCUGGCGAGUACUGUUCUGUCGUCGGGUCUAUCCUUCUGGUGAGCCGGUAUGUUCUUAAUUGAGCGUAACGGGGAGCCAGGACCAUUACCUUGAAAAAAUUAGAGUGUUUAAAGCAGGCUUUUGCUUGAAUAGAUUAGCAUGGAAUAAUAGAAUAGGACGUUGUGGUUCUAUUUUGUUGGUUCAAGGACCACCGUAAUGAUUAAUAGGGAUAGUUGGGGGCAUUAGUAUUCAAUUGUCAGAGGUGAAAUUCUUGGAUUUAUUGAAGACUAACUACUGCGAAAGCAUUUGCCAAGGAUGUUUUCAUUAAUCAAGAACGAAAGUUAGGGGAUCGAAGACGAUCAGAUACCGUCGUAGUCUUAACCAUAAACUAUGCCGACUAGGAAUCGGGCGACGUUAUUUUUACGACUCGCUCGGCGCCUUAUG